GCCGGGCGUGGUGGCACACACCCGUAAUCCCAGGGGCUCAGGGGGCUGAGACAGGAGGAUGGUGAGUUCAAAGGCAACCUCAGCAAUGGCAAGGCGCUUAGCAACUCAGUGAGACCCUGUCUCUA
This 125-nucleotide small RNA is filed under the name Marmota monax (woodchuck). The record is from RNAcentral. Lineage: Eukaryota; Metazoa; Chordata; Mammalia; Rodentia; Sciuridae.